GACGGAGGGUGCUAGCGUUGUUCGGAAUCACUGGGCGUAAAGGGCGCGUAGGCGGCCUGGAAAGUCAGAUGUGAAAGCCCGGGGCUCAACCCCGGAAUUGCAUUUGAGACUCCCUGGCUGGAGGUCGAGAGAGGAGAGUGGAAUACCCAGUGUAGAGGUGAAAUUCGUAGAUAUUGGGUGGAACACCAGUGGCGAAAGCGGCUCUCGGGCUCGAAUCUGACGCUGAGGCGCGAAAGCGUGGGGAGCAAACAGG
This 253-nucleotide ribosomal RNA is filed under the name uncultured bacterium. RNAcentral describes it as "partial 16S ribosomal RNA". It matches the Rfam family "Bacterial small subunit ribosomal RNA", at positions 524 to 776 of the family's 1533-position model. The record is from RNAcentral.